RNAcentral lists this long non-coding RNA (1377 nucleotides) under Zonotrichia albicollis (white-throated sparrow). RNAcentral describes it as "lncRNA (ENSZALG00000010651.1)". Lineage: Eukaryota; Metazoa; Chordata; Aves; Passeriformes; Passerellidae. The record is from RNAcentral.
UUGUUGCCUUGAAGUUAUUUUCGGCGGAAAAAAAAAAUGAAAGAGCUCAGAUUACACCAUAGGUUGUGUGGUGGAAAAAAAGGGGGGGAAAAAAAGGGGGGAGGAAAAUCCCAUCUUUUUCAGAAAUAUUUUAAUGCUCCCCCUAAUAGUCCUAGGAGUACCUGCCUCCUUUCACAUUCUGUGAUUUUCCCGCAGAGGAAGCACCGACCAAGAAAUUCUUCUGUACACCCCACCAAACCAAACCCAUUCCAAGGCUGGUCAGAGGUGUUCACUACAAGGAACUGGAGAAAACAGGAUGUUUUGCUUCUCUCCCAGGCCUGUGCUCUACCAGUCUGACCUGCUUAUCCUCCUUUCCUUUUCUGCUAUUCAGGAACCAGGGCUCCAGAGCUCUACAGCCACAGGAAGCACUGCUGGGGAGGAGGAUUGCUUCCCUGGCUCCCGCAGCUUGGACACCAGCAUGAGGCAAUCAGGAGGGUAAUCAAGGAGAAAGGUAUACAGGAAUUGCCACAGGAACAUUGUGUCUUACUAGGAGUUCCCAGCGCUACUGAAAUUCAGAGUCUGUGUUUUCUCAAAACAUCUUGAAAGAGAGCUGAAGUGUAAGCAAACACAGAAUCUUUACUGGCUUUCCUAGAUUCUGCUUCUUGCUCCUCUUCCCUUAAAAUAUUUUGGAUCGAGUAGCAGAUCCAGCUCUGCAGUCUGCACUUGAGGAUGUGGCACACUAGCAAGGUUGGUGGCUUUGUGAAUGCACCGAGCUUUUAACAUGUGAAAGGCAAGGAAUAUUCAUUCCGGCUCCCCCCGGGCACCAGGGGUGUGGAGCCUGCCUCUGAUUCUUUCUGGCUCCUGGAAUUUUGCAUUUCUGUGUCAGCUGGGCCUCCCUGCCCGCACCCCUUGAGGGCUGAGCACAGAAAAUCUUGUGCAAGCAGCUGGAGCUGCAGCGUUUUGGUUCUGUGUGAUCCAACUGUCUAUGGCUUCGGUGUCGUUCUGAUCGCUCCAUUUUUAUCUAGAUCUGAAGUUCCUCACUGAGGAGAGUUUUUGUCUGGAAGAUACAGAUUUCCCUGGUAUUUGUUACAACUGGCUGUAUUUCGAGUAUGUCAGGCGCUUAGUCAGCUGUUCCUGCAACUGAGACUUGUUUUUCUUCUUUUUAUCCCUUUCAUGCAGUGGAAAAAGUUUCCUGCUGCUCUCCCUACUGAUAUUUGAUAUCCUAUCUCCAACUGAUGCACAUAUUUAACUUUUAAAGAACAGCAUGUCAGCUAGCUCUGCUAAAUAAGGCUCUUUCUGGUUUUGAAUUGUUUCAUUCUCUUUUGUUGUUUUGUGUUUUUGGUUUUCAGUGAAAGAUUAUUUUGGAGGUAUUAUUUCUCAGAGGAAUGACUUUUUCUA